This is a long non-coding RNA of Cannabis sativa, 1673 nucleotides long. RefSeq lists it as uncharacterized. The record is from RefSeq and is a predicted model, not a curated record. The transcript is spliced from 2 exons. NCBI's taxonomy places the organism in Eukaryota, Viridiplantae, Streptophyta, Magnoliopsida, Rosales, Cannabaceae.
UUUUUAUUUAUUAAUUACUUUUUUUCCUAUAUAAUAUUAUAGCUUUCAAAUAUAUCUAUUCUAUAUAAAGUGUGCCUAUAUAACAAAAUUUUUGGUUUAUGAGAAAUUCAUGGAUGACUUUUUAUUUAUAUUUAAUAAAAUAAUAAAAUAUUAUUUAUAUAUAAUAAAAUAAAAAUAAAACAAAUCCCAUUAAUAUUUGAACUGAUAUUUGAUGCUAAUUAUUUAUACGCUUUAAUAUUAUUUAUUUUUUUUCAUUACACCCAUAUUAGAAAUUCUAAAUUUAUGUUGCUUAAAUAUUGACUCUCUGUACUCAAUUAUUUGUGGAUUCAUGUUCCAAUAUUAUUAUUUGUGUAAAAUCUUUGACAAAAUAUCCAAAUCUACGUGGAUUAUUUUUUUUCUACAUAAUAUUCCUUAGGAUUGUGUUCAUUUAUGUGUACAAAAUGUGUUAUAGACUCGUCAUUAUUGCAUUAUAGAGGACUAUGUGAAGAUUCAUGUGUCGUCUUUUGAAUGAAAUUUAUCGACUAUUUAUUAUUAUUUAUUGAUUAUUAUUUUAUUGGCACAAAAAAUAAAUUUGUGGUAGAUUUAAAUUAAAUUUUAGUAUUAUGCUCUAAUGGACAAUUACGAAAAUAUAAAAUUUAAUAUCUACUUAAUGUUUUUAUUAAGAAUAAAAUAAAAACUCAUAAUUUUAUUAUCAAUUUUAUUACUAAUGGAAGAUAGUCUUACGUGUUAAAUUUACAUACUUUUUAGCACAUCAUUAGAUUUAGAGUAUACUUUUUGUUAAAUAAAUUACAUUUUAGUUUUUCACCACUUAUUUGCAUCUCUAUUGUAGAUGCUCUUAGUGAUUGUUGAUUUAUUUAUCAAAGCUAAUACAUUAAUUAUCUUAAAUUAUGAACAAGAAAUAAGAGUUUAGUUUUGAAAUUUUACGCAUUAUUUUUUUUCCAAUAUAUAUAUCAUUAUGUUUUUUAUUUUAUGAUAUAUAAUUAGUUUAAAAUAAGAUUAUUUAUUUAAUUAAACUAUAAUAAUAUUGUAUAGUAUAAUAAUUAAAAGUUAACUAAAAUAUAAUUAAAUGUACGUACAUUGUACGUAACUUUAAUCUAGUAUAUAUCUAUUCUAUAUAAAGUGUGCCUAUAUAACUAAAAUUCUUGGUUUAUGAGAAAUUUAUGGGUGAAUUUUUAUUUUUAUUUAAUAAAAUAAUAAAAUAUUAUUUAUAUUUAAUAAAAUAAUAAUAAAACCAAUCUCAUUAAUAUUUGAACUGAUAUUUAAGAUUCUGAUGUUUGUUUUCUUUAAUCUUAUACUUUUAACUGAAUUUAAAUGUCUCAAGUAUAUAUAUUAUAUAAUGACAUAUAUUUUACUCUCACUGAUUAAUCUUUCAUUGUUCCCCAUAAAUAUAAUAGUGUGCAUUCUUUUUUAUUAUUAUUAUAAAUUGUUGUCGUUACAUAUUGAAUUUGUAUUUGACUUGACUAAUCUCAGUGAUAGUGUGGUAGUGGCUUUCUUGCAACAAUGUACUUGAGGUCGAUAGACGAUCAAUGUGUGAGUAAAGAGCGAGUACAAAUAGUAUAGUGAUGAUAACAUUGGGUUCGAGAUGCUUGAGGUUGUAUUUUGUUGAAAAUACAAUAAAGAAUAAGAAAAAUUGUUACAAAUGUUAUAAAGAAGACAUUUAUUUAGUGAAUCAA